Molecule: ribosomal RNA, 253 nt
Filed under: uncultured bacterium
Lineage: Bacteria
Description: partial 16S ribosomal RNA
Rfam family: Bacterial small subunit ribosomal RNA
Source: RNAcentral
UACGAAUGGGGCAAGCGUUGUUCGGAAUAACUGGGCUUAAAGCGUGCGUAGGCGGCCAAGCAAGUCAGGAGUGAAAUCCCCGGGCUCAACCCGGGAAUUGCUUUUGAAACUGCAUGGCUAGAAUCCGGUAGAGGUUAGCAGAAUUCCCAGUGUAGAGGUGAAAUUCGCAGAUAUUGGGAGGAAUACCAGUGGCGUAGGCGGCUAACUGGACCGGUUUUGACGCUGAGGUACGAAAGCGUGGGGAGCAAACAGG